Molecule: ribosomal RNA, 422 nt
Filed under: uncultured bacterium
Lineage: Bacteria
Description: bacterial SSU rRNA
Rfam family: Bacterial small subunit ribosomal RNA
Source: RNAcentral
GUACGCUGGCGGCACGCCUAACACAUGCAAGUCGAACGCAGUAGCAAUACUGAGUGGCAAACGGGUGAGUAUAAUGUGGGAAUCUGCCUUUUGGCCUGGAAUAACACGAGGAAACUUGUGCUAAUACUGGAUAAGUCUUUACGGAGAAAGCUUUAUGCACCAUUGGAUGAGCCUGCACUUGAUUAGUUUGUUGGUGGGGUAAUGGCCUACCAAGACUGUGAUCAAUAGCUGAUUUGAGAGGAUGAUCAGCCACAUUGGGACUGAGACACGGCCCAAACUCCUACGGGAGGCAGCAGUGGGGAAUUUUCCGCAAUGGGCGAAAGCCUGACGGAGCAACGCCGCGUGAGGGACGAAGGCCUCUGGGCUGUAAACCUCUUUUCUCAAGGAAGAAGAUAUGACGGUACUGAGGAAUAAGCCACGGC